AUGGGAUGGAGCUGGAGCAUCCUCUUCCUCCUGUCAAUAACUGCAGGUGUCCACUCCCAGGUCCAGCUGCAGCAGUCAGGUCCUGGACUGGGGAAACUUGGGUCCUCAGUGAAGUUGUCCUGCAAGGCUUCUGGCUACACCUUCACCGGCUAUUAUAUGAACUGGGUGAAGCAGAGGCUUGGACAGGGUUUGGAGUGGAUUGGAAGGAUUUAUCCUGGAGAUGGCGAUACUGACUACAACCAGAAGUUCAAGGACAAAGCCAAACUGACUGCAGACAAAUCCUCCAGCACAGCCUAUAUGGAGCUCAGCAGCCUGAUCUCUGAGGACUCUGCAGUCUAUUACUGUGCAACACACAGUGUUGCAACCACAUCCUGA
Non-coding RNA from Onychomys torridus (southern grasshopper mouse), 375 nucleotides. The record is from the annotation of a RefSeq genome assembly. Lineage: Eukaryota; Metazoa; Chordata; Mammalia; Rodentia; Cricetidae.